UCGCACGAGCCUAAACUGCCAACCAAAGUUCGAUCCACGACACAACCACCUUGUUUCAAUAGAAAAACGUCAAACUCGUGCGACGUUAAAGAGUCGAGAUAGAAAAAACGUCAAACUCGUGCGACGUUAAAGAGUCGAGACAGGAAAAACGUCAAACUCGUGCGACGUUAAAGAGCCGAGACAGGAAAAACAUCAAACUCGUGCGACGUUAAACAGUCGAAACAGGAAAACAUCAAACUCAUGCGACGAUAAAGAGGCGAGACAGGAAAAACGUCAAACUCGUGUGAUGUUAAAGAGUCGAGAUAGGUAACGUCUAGCCCCAUAUGACGUAAAAUGUCGGAUGUAUUCAGGGCACAACCACCUUAUUCAAUGUGUUCAGGGCACAACCAACCUGUUCAAUGUGUUCUGCGCACAAUCACCCUGUUCAAUGUGUUCAAGGCACAACCACCAUGUUCAAACGUCUAGCCCCGUAUGACACAGGGUAUAUCCAGUUCAACGUCAAACUCGUGCGAUGUAAAAGAGCCGAGACAGGUAAUGUCUAGCCCCAUAUGACGUAAAAUGUCGGAUGUGUUCAAGGCACAAGCACCCUGUUCAAUAUUGUUCAGGGCACAACCAC
Molecule: long non-coding RNA, 616 nt
Filed under: Amborella trichopoda
Lineage: Eukaryota; Viridiplantae; Streptophyta; Magnoliopsida; Amborellales; Amborellaceae
Description: long non-coding RNA (ATRI_LNC001421)
Source: RNAcentral